RNAcentral lists this long non-coding RNA (3133 nucleotides) under Olea europaea subsp. europaea. The record is from RNAcentral. Lineage: Eukaryota; Viridiplantae; Streptophyta; Magnoliopsida; Lamiales; Oleaceae.
CGGAGUCAGCCUGAUGUAGUUGAUUCUGGUACUGGCUCAUUUUCAUCUUACAAUUUUAUCAUAUGCUUCCAUUAUUUCGUCUUCUCUGAUAGUUAUUUACAAUGUCUUUAACUCUUGCAUUUUACAUUUUCUAAUGUAUAUAAGAUUGGAGUUUAGGUUUCUCAAUUAGUUGUGUUUACUUAAUAGCUCCAGUUGGAGUCUUUUUGUCUCCUUAUCUGAUUUGUUAACUUCUAUUAGAGGAAAAUAAUUUGUUUUCUGUGGUUAUUAUUAGGCUAUGUUUCUUAUUAUUAUUUGGACAGUGUCUCAUAAUUUUUCCACCCCCUUGGACCUAUGCAAGUUAUUGAUAUAUCUACCGAGGAAUAUACUACUUGUACAUAAUAUGGUGUCCAUGUGAGUGGGACCACUUCAGAUAAGUGGGUUCUCCCUUCAUGUGAGGGGAUGGACACCUAAUGUAUGUGUAGCAUCACUCAUCUAAUGAAUACGUGGAGGAGGACAAAUUACAUAAAGCUAUAUUCUUAUGAAAAAAUAAUUUACACUCAAGAAAGCAUAAGGUAUGCUAUAUUAACUAAUUAGGAAGGAGUCUUAACACCACACUAGGUUAUUUUUAUUUUUAUUUUUUUCAAAAGGUUUUAUCCUGUUAAGGUAUUUGUAUUUUUCUUUCAUGCAAGGACAUUAAUCACUUGUUCAAUAUCCUUUGCAACAACUUUUGCAAUUGUGAUUUGUAAAUCUCAUUUAAACAUGCUGAGCAUGGUUAACAUAAGUGAGUGUAUAGGUUUGCGCAUGCACAUAUAUGAAAGACACUGGCAGUUGAUGGCAUACAUCAUCACUGGAUUAUGAAAGACACUAUUGAAUUUUGGAUACUUGCACAUUAUGCUCGCGACUUUAUUGCCGCACAAAAUGAAUUCUAUGCCUUGAGCUGAGAACUUGCAUAAUUAUCCUAUGUGGCUUGCUUUCAAGUGAUAAGAAAAUAAAAUAAAAAUUGAGUAGAAAUCCACUCUACAUAUGACUUGAACUCGGCUAUAUCUUGAUCAAGUCACAGGAUGCGAUCCUUACCAUGGAAAGUGGAUUUACGGAUCAACUGGACCAUCAUACUCAAAUAACUCCUGGCUCCUGCCCUAUCAUCACUCAGAUGCAAAAAUGCUAGGGGAAUAGAAGACCUGAUAAAGAUUACGAGAAUUGGAGAUGGAAACCUUCUAAGCAUGACCUCCCUUGAUUUGGAGCAAAGAAGUUUCUGGAGUUAAUGAGAGGAAAGACAUUACCUUUCAUUGGUGAUUCAGUAGCUCGAAAUCAGACAGAAUCAAUGCUGUACAUCUAUUUAUUUAGUUUCUUCAUCUAUUUUAGGCGUACUUCUUUCUGGUUUUUUAUAACACUUCUCCUAUUAUUCUUGUCAAUUAUUAGUCCUCUGACAACUUUCCCUUUUAAGCUCUAUUAAGCCCUCUAGAACAAUUUCAUUGGUGUCUUAUUUUUUACUUCUUCUUUCUCUCUUUCUCUCUUUCCCUUUUUCUUUUUUUUUUUUUUUUUUUUUUUCCCUUUCUUGGCGUGGGGGUGUUACUUCUGCUAUUCAUGUUUAUUCCGUUAUAGUAAAUGAAUGAUUUAUGAAAAAUCUGGAGGUUGAUUCCAGCCCUCUCCAAGCAAGUGUGUUGAAAAACCUAUUUUGGAGAAAGAACAAUACAUUGGAAGGAAACCCUUUAGAGCCUAAACCCACUAUUCUUGUAGACUCUUUCCUUUAUAUAGUUUAAACACCUAAGAAAUGAACAAAUGAACCAUCGUGAUGGUGAAUUCUACGCUGAACAUAAUGCAACGGAGAAUAAGAAUAAAACUAUAUAAUAUAAGAGUUAAACAAUGACUCCUAACCCAUUCUUAAACCACCAAGACUGGCAUGUUGAUGGUUUUAUGGUUUCUGACCUGUGAUAACUGUUUUUAGUUCUUUUUUCCCAUAUUGCCCUGUCCUUUUCCAAAGGUUAGUCCUGCUGCCUUUUUUGUGUGUGUUUGUAGUGGGUGACUUCCUUUUCCAAAUUCCAUCUUAUUAGCUCAGUACUUUUUGUUUUAAUGGCUUUUUAAGCCCCUGAAUAAAGCCUUAGUGGCCCCUGAUAAAAGUAGUUCUGGACACACAUACCUACUAUUUGACUGUACAUUUGUCUCUAUAGGUGUUUGAGUUAUAAAGGUUGGUUUUUAAGCCCUCAAAGUUUUUUUGGCCAGAAUUAUUUAAUUGUUUCCAAUAGUAGUAUAAAAGUACAUAUGGACCCAUCCACAUGGAGCAUGGUAUCAUUUCACUUUGCGCAUACAUAUAAUGGCUUUCCAAUUCAUAAUUCUAGUAUUCUUUCAGGUCGAGGUUCCAAAAAUCCGAAAAACAGAGGAAAUCGAAGGAUGCAAUAUUAUUAUUUCAGAUCUACAUCUACAAUGAUAGUUUACAUAUGGUCCUCCUGGCUUGUUCACCAAACAUCUGAGCCGUUUGACUUUGCUCCCACUGGUGUGGUUAAGCUUCACCUUGAUGUACCUGAUGAAGUAUUCUUGCAAUAUAUUAUGGAUUUUGAUGUGAUAGUCCUCUCUGGCCAUUGGUUUGCGAAGCAGUCAGUUUAUAUAUUGAACAGUGAGAUUGUAGGACAAUUUUGGUGGUAGUAAAAUUCUAGACAAAAGAAGAUCGACAGCAUUGAAGCAUUUGGAAUAUUUGUCGAAUCAAUUGUCACUGCCUUAUUCACACAUCGGAAUUACACUGGUCUAACAAUUGUCCUUAGCUUUUCACCUGAUCAAAAUGAGGGUGGAUCCUGGAACACUAGAGGAUCAUGCACUGGAAAGGUCAGGCCUGCCUUGGAUGGUGAAUUAGUCGCGAAUGGUUUUACAAAUAUAAUGCAAGAGAAGCAGAUGGCUAUGAAGAAAAAGCAAACAAAUAAACAAAGAAAUUAAUUAAUAUAACAGAAGCAUUUUCAUAUCGCCAUGAUGGACAUCCAGGUUCAUAUUGAAGCCCGGAUCCAAAUAAGAUCACUAAAAAGGGGCCUAGAUGGUAGGCCCACACCUCAGGAUUGCUUGCACCGGUGCAUGCCAGUUCCAGUUGAUACAUGGAAUGAACUCGUGUUUGAAGUUAUAAGAAAAGAAUUUAAUGACAGACAAAACAUUGCUUCGUGAGUCAUUCGUG